UGAAAUGCCAUUAGAGACAAUUGGAUGAUGCUAAAAAAUGGUGAAAAAAAAAUAGGGAAAAGAAAAAAAUACGCGUGUUGAAGCCGUUGAGGGUAUGGUACUUGUAGACGGAGGCAAAGAAGGAGAUGGAGGCGAGAAAAAGCGCGGCGGUCGGCGGCGGUGAGGGACAGGGCGGCGGCCGGCGGAGGUGAGGAAAAAGGCGGCGGCCAACGAAGGCGAGGAAAAGGGCGGCGACCGGCGGAGGUAAGGAAAUGGGCGGCGGCCAGCGGAGGCGAGGAAAAGGGAGUUUUGGGAUUGUGAUUUGGAGCGGUUAGAGUUUUGCAAAAGAAAGCUAAGCUGCUAAAUAUAGUUGGGUUUUUUUGUAAAUAUAUUAACUUUCANAAAGCGCGGCGGUCGGCGGCGGUGAGGGACAGGGCGGCGGCCGGCGGAGGUGAGGAAAAAGGCGGCGGCCAACGAAGGCGAGGAAAAGGGCGGCGGCUGGCGAAGGGGAGAAAAUGGGCGGCGGUCGGUCGUGUUGGGGGAGAAGGAGUUUUGGGAUUGUGAUUUGGAGCGGUUAGAGUUUUGCAAAAGAAAGCUAAGCUGCUAAAUAUAGUUGGGUUUUUUUGUAAAUAUAUUAACUUUCAGGGAUAUUUUAAAGAAAUAUAUAAAUGGUUUUCGGGGCGGAUCAAAAAUUUUUCCGUUUCCUGCUCCGAAUCAGCCUCAUAUCAUAAAAAUUGCCUUGUUUCUUGCCCCGAAUCCGUUUAUUUUCUCCAGUUUACUGCCCCAU
Molecule: long non-coding RNA, 766 nt
Filed under: Ananas comosus (pineapple)
Lineage: Eukaryota; Viridiplantae; Streptophyta; Magnoliopsida; Poales; Bromeliaceae
Description: long non-coding RNA (ACOM_LNC004984)
Source: RNAcentral